Culex quinquefasciatus (southern house mosquito) is the source of this 1703-nucleotide long non-coding RNA. RefSeq lists it as uncharacterized. The transcript is spliced from 5 exons. NCBI's taxonomy places the organism in Eukaryota, Metazoa, Arthropoda, Insecta, Diptera, Culicidae. The record is from RefSeq and is a predicted model, not a curated record.
UUCCUCCGUCCGCAGUCCGCAAUCAAAUCAAAACAAAGUGGAAAAGAUUGUGUGAGGUUCAAUCGACAGGCUCGCGAAUAGUGAAAAAUUCGGGCCUAUUUUCCGUGUUUCGUCGAGAAUUUAGCAGUGGGAAACGCAGCGGAUGUGGCCAAGUUCCUAUUUGGUACCCAGGGUGCCCGUGACCACGAAGAUGGAUGAUGGCGACCUAGUUGAGCUUGCCGAGGGGUGCACAUCUCGGAGUACGAUUUGCACGACGGCCGGAGUACCGUUUCCGGCGUCAACGUCAAAGAUGCCGCAGGAUAUACUGGGGCAGCCAAAUCCGAACGAGCCGACGAACCAUGAGGUGGACCAUUGCAGAAGAAGCUGAAAUCGGAGACUACAUAUCAGGAUUGUCAUCUCCGUCGAUCAGGAUUGAAAGCUCCGUCGAACUAUGCAGUCAUGACGUCCAAGCAAAUCGAAAAGGACCUGCUCCGUGGUCGGUUUUAUCGCGUGCUUCAGCUGCCCAGCAGUAUCGGAGGUCGUCCAGGUCGUCCUUUUCCAGCUGACGGAUCAGAUCAAGGCCAAGAUCAAGGAACAGUCUGGAGAAUGUGGAAAGUUCCGCCAAGAUGUGCAAUCCGCAUUUUGACAUUUCGGCCGAUUCGAUGAUAGUGAUCGAAACGCACCGCCGGCGUCACCUGGCCUAUUGGAUGCCUAACAGGGUGAACUGGUCGGCAAUUCGGAAGCCGGAUCGAACCUUUCCAACAAUACUGGCCUGCCAACUGGUCAAAAAGUCCAAGUAGAUGCUGCAGAUAAUUCUGAUGAUUCUUUCACGAAAACUAGAUGCCAUUCAAAAGCUGUCCACGAACGCCGUGGUGUGCAACGCCUCGGCGACAGCUGCAGCCGCUGUCCAGAAGUGGCCCAUCUUAACUGAUUAUUAUUGCUUAUUUCUGGGGGAAGAGUGCUCGUCACAAGUCGGCCGACGGGUGUGGGAAUCAAUACUGGUAUUUGAACCAACCGGCGUCGAGAAUAUUAGGACAAUUCGCGGUUCUCAAGCUGUGCGAUUUAUUUUUGAAACUUACAGCAGCUAGCGAUAAGAAUGUAGCUGCCGCCCGAACCAGAUUGUAUCCCGGGCUGGAAACAGGCAGCGGCCGUCGAAAAGCAGCUGGUCUUCAAUUAGAUGUGUUUGGCAAUUACGCUAUCCAGUAGUUCUUCGUGUUUGGCCAACCCGUACAGAAACAAACCAUGUAUAGACUCGGAAUAUUACUCUAUAAGCCAUUUGUCCGCGAGCUAGACGGUCACGCAACCACUCUGCCUUGGUUAAAUACCGAUGAGCUCAUCCAGGAACAUGACGGAAAUUAUUUAGUUAAUUCAACAUGUUUUGAUGCACGGAAAGCCGGAGAACAAGUCCGUGCUGAUUGCGGUCGCCCGGACAAGGUUGUCGUAGAACAAGUUCACGCGGAUGAAACGGAUGACCGAGCUCCAGAGGAAGGACAACGCAUCGUUCACACACGGACCUUCCUUUGAAAGCUUUUCAAACGAUUCUAAACGACACCAAGUGCCCGAGCUGGUUGUGCGAAAGAAGAUCGAAAAUCGGGAAAGAACAUCGAUUAUUUUAGAAGUUGCAUAUUCUUUAAAAUGUAAAAAGCUACUAAAAGCUACUACUUAUAAAUACAAAUGUUAAAAUGAAGUGUUUCGGUGGGCAAUAAAUCAGAUUGAGAAUAAAA